CUGAAUGGUCUUCAUUUUAAGGCCUUUCCACCCUUCAAACCUGUGGAAGCAACAUGUGCUUCGGUGUCCCCUGGGCACCGCUUUUAUGCUGGAAUCAGUCUUGUGUGUCUGAAUCUCAAUUAAAAGAAUCA
This 131-nucleotide unclassified non-coding RNA is filed under the name uncultured Ascomycota. RNAcentral's name for it is "sequence contains ITS1". Lineage: Eukaryota; Fungi; Ascomycota. The record is from RNAcentral.